AAUUGAUUAAUCUAAAAAAGAUAAUUGUUUUGAAAACAAUAUAUGGAUAUAUAGUCAUUCCAUCAAUUU
Molecule: transfer RNA, 69 nt
Filed under: Lachesilla pedicularia
Lineage: Eukaryota; Metazoa; Arthropoda; Insecta; Psocodea; Lachesillidae
Description: tRNA-Ser
Source: RNAcentral